Molecule: ribosomal RNA, 301 nt
Filed under: uncultured bacterium
Lineage: Bacteria
Description: partial 16S ribosomal RNA
Rfam family: Bacterial small subunit ribosomal RNA
Source: RNAcentral
CAGCCGCCGCGGUAAUACGAGGGGGCUAGCGUUGCUCGGAAUUACUGGGCGUAAAGGGAGCGUAGGCGGACAUUUAAGUCAGGGGUGAAAUCCCAGAGCUCAACUCUGGAACUGCCUUUGAUACUGGGUGUCUUGAGUGUGAUAGAGGUAUGUGGAACUCCGAGUGUAGAGGUGAAAUUCGUAGAUAUUCGGAAGAACACCAGUGGCGAAGGCGACAUACUGGAUCAUUACUGACGCUGAGGCUCGAAAGCGUGGGUAGCAAACAGGAUUAGAGACCCCCGUAGUCCCUGUCUCUUAUACA